GAGGAAUAUUGGACAAUGGGCGCAAGCCUGAUCCAGCCAUGCCGCGUGCAGGAUGACGGUCCUAUGGAUUGUAAACUGCUUUUAUACAGGAAGAAACCCUUGCUCGUGAGCAAGACUGACGGUACUGUAGGAAUAAGGAUCGGCUAACUCCGUGCCAGCAGCCGCGGUAAUACGGAGGAUCCAAGCGUUAUCCGGAAUCAUUGGGUUUAAAGGGUCCGUAGGCGGCCUUAUAAGUCAGUGGUGAAAUCCCGCAGCUCAACUGUGGAAUGGCCAUUGAUACUGUAGGGCUUGAAUUAUAGUGAAGUAACUAGAAUAUGUAGUGUAGCGGUGAAAUGCUUAGAUAUUACAUGGAAUACCCAUUGCGAAGGCAGGUUACUAACUAUGGAUUGACGCUGAUGGACGAAAGCGUGGGGAGCGAAC
This 420-nucleotide ribosomal RNA is filed under the name uncultured bacterium. RNAcentral's name for it is "bacterial SSU rRNA". It matches the Rfam family "Bacterial small subunit ribosomal RNA", at positions 356 to 773 of the family's 1533-position model. The record is from RNAcentral.